Molecule: ribosomal RNA, 468 nt
Filed under: uncultured bacterium
Lineage: Bacteria
Description: partial 16S ribosomal RNA
Rfam family: Bacterial small subunit ribosomal RNA
Source: RNAcentral
GACGAACGCUGGCGGCGUGCUUAACACAUGCAAGUCGAACGGAAAGGCCCUGCUUUUGUGGGGUGCUCGAAUGGCGAACGUGUGAGUAACACGUGAGUAACCUGCCCUUGACUUUGGGAUAACUUCAGGAAACUGGGGCUAAUACCGGAUAGAAGCUCCUGCUGCAUGGUGGGGGUUGGAAAGUUUCGGCGGUUGGGGAUGGACUCGCGGCUUAUCAGCUUGUUGGUGGGGUAGUGGCUUACCAAGGCUUUGACGGGUAGCCGGCCUGAGAGGGUGACCGGCCACAUUGGGACUGAGAUACGGCCCAGACUCCUACGGGAGGCAGCAGUGGGGAAUAUUGCACAAUGGGCGGAAGCCUGAUGCAGCAACGCCGCGUGCGGGAUGACGGCCUUCGGGUUGUAAACCGCUUUCGCCUGUGACGAAGCGUGAGUGACGGUAAUGGGUAAAGAAGCACCGGCUAACUACGUG